This 607-nucleotide ribosomal RNA is filed under the name uncultured bacterium. Its description in RNAcentral is "bacterial SSU rRNA". The stretch from base 1 to 533 matches the Rfam family "Bacterial small subunit ribosomal RNA", at positions 338 to 873 of the family's 1533-position model. The record is from RNAcentral.
CCUACGGGAGGCAGCAGUAGGGAAUAUUGGGCAAUGGAGGCAACUCUGACCCAGCCAUGCCGCGUGCAGGAUGAAGGCGUUAUGCGUUGUAAACUGCUUUUAUAUAGGAAGAAAGAGUUCUUGCGAGAACAGUUGACGGUACUAUAUGAAUAAGCACCGGCUAACUCCGUGCCAGCAGCCGCGGUAAUACGGAGGGUGCAAGCGUUGUCCGGAUUUAUUGGGUUUAAAGGGUGCGUAGGCGGUUUAUUAAGUCAGUGGUGAAAGACGGUCGCUCAACGAUUGCAGUGCCGUUGAUACUGGUAGACUUGAGUGAGAUUGAGGUAGCUGGAAUGGAUAGUGUAGCGGUGAAAUGCAUAGAUAUUAUCCAGAACACCAAUUGCGUAGGCAAGUUACUAAGUCUCAACUGACGCUGAGGCACGAAAGUGUGGGUAUCAAACAGGAUUAGAUACCCUGGUAGUCCACACUGUAAACGAUGAUAACUAACUGUUGGCUUUCGGGUCAGUGGUACAGAGAAAUCGUUAAGUUAUCCCACNGGAGACGCGCGACGUAGAACGUACGAAUAGAGUUAGAGCGUGAGACGNGCGACGGACGACGACGAGGGAGGAGG